CCUACGGGAGGCAGCAGUGGGGAAUAUUGCACAAUGGGGGAAACCCUGAUGCAGCGACGCCGCGUGAGUGAAGAAGUACUUCGGUAUGUAAAGCCCUAUCAGCAGGGAAGAAAAUGACGGUACCUGAUCAAGAAGCCCCGGCUAACUACGUGCCAGCAGCCGCGGUAAUACGUAGGGGGCAAGCGUUAUCCGGAUUUACUGGGUGUAAAGGGAGCGUAGACGGUGUUGCAAGUCAGAAGUGAAAGCCCGGGGCCCAACUCCGGGACUGCUUUUGAAACUGUGUAACUGGAGUGCAGGAGAGGUAAGCGGAAUUCCUGGUGUAGCGGUGAAAUGCGUAGAUAUCAGGAGGAACACCAGUGGCGGAGGCGGCUUACUGGACUGUAACUGACGUUGAGGCUCGAAAGCGUGGGGAGCAAACAGGAUUAGAUACCCGAGUAGUC
Molecule: ribosomal RNA, 440 nt
Filed under: uncultured bacterium
Lineage: Bacteria
Description: partial 16S ribosomal RNA
Rfam family: Bacterial small subunit ribosomal RNA
Source: RNAcentral